This 440-nucleotide ribosomal RNA is filed under the name uncultured bacterium. RNAcentral describes it as "partial 16S ribosomal RNA". It matches the Rfam family "Bacterial small subunit ribosomal RNA", at positions 338 to 795 of the family's 1533-position model. The record is from RNAcentral.
CCUACGGGUGGCAGCAGUGGGGAAUAUUGCACAAUGGGGGAAACCCUGAUGCAGCGACGCCGCGUGAGUGAAGAAGUAUCUCGGUACGUAAAGCUCUAUCAGCAGGGAAGAAAAUGACGGUACCUGACUAAGAAGCCCCGGCUAACUACGUGCCAGCAGCCGCGGUAAUACGUAGGGGGCAAGCGUUAUCCGGAUUUACUGGGUGUAAAGGGAGCGUAGACGGCAGCACAAGUCUGGAGUGAAAUCCCGGGGCCUAACCCCGGAACUGCUUUGGAAACUGUGCGGCUGGAGUGCAGGAGGGGUAAGCGGAAUUCCUAGUGUAGCGGUGAAAUGCGUAGAUAUUAGGAGGAACACCGGUGGCGAAGGCGGCUUACUGGACUGUAACUGACGUUGAGGCUCGAAAGCGUGGGGAGCAAACAGGAUUAGAUACCCGUGUAGUC